AGGAUUAAGAGCUGGGGUGGAGAGAAAGGGAGGUGGGUAUGCCUUCUUUCCCAGCAGUGUCUCAACAGCCCUCUGCCUGAUUUCUUUCUCUAUAAAGCAAAUCCUGCCUUCUACUUAUCACAAGGAUUCUGGGAAGACAGAACAGAUAGAAAUGUGCAACCUUGGAGGAAAGUUCCUGGUAUUACAAUCACAAAUGAAGGUGGAAGCCGACUACUGUCUACUGCAAAACCCCAACUCUACACGAUGGCAAGGAAGAUCUUUCAACUUCAUAACCUGGGAAAGAAAAGCCAGGCUUCUUCUAUCCCAGGCCACAGACUGGCCCCAAUUACCCCAAGCAAUGAUCCCACAGAUGUAAGCCUGAGAGAAAGCCUGCACCCAAUCAAGCCACUGCCACCACUGGAAAAGCAAGGUCAGGAGCAGACCCCACUGCAAGUGGGGCAUGACUUCUACAUCGUGAAAAUAGCCUGCACUUGGAUCCACUGCCUAGAUACAGGCUCCUAAUCGCUCCUAGUUGCAUAAAUUUCAGGGCCCUUGGGGCUACUCAGUGUAGCCAAAACUCUUAACUACACAAAAGGGAGUUGGAUAUUUUGGUGUAAUAGAAAGAGGAUACCCAACACUCUUGACAAGCCCUACAGUCUUGGGUUCAUAUUCCAACUCUAUAACUGAGUCGCUUUCUGAACCUCAGUUUCCUCAACAGGUAAAGAGAGGUGUAACACCUCCUCUCAGAGUCAUUGUUAAGCAAAACGCCCAGUUCAGUGCCUGGCAAACAGUGGAGACUCAACAAGGUUGGUCUACUUCCUACUGAAUUCUCUGCUCAGAAUAUUUUCUUGCUUGUUCUCUGAAUUCCUGGGUCAAAAGCUACUUCUGAUAAACCUCCCGAAUAGCCUAACCAAGUUCCAAGUAUAGUUUAUUAAAAUCAUCUCUAUGUGUGUGGUUCUGAUAAUGUUUGAUAUCUCAAAUUCAAUCUUGCUACUCAAUGUGUGAUCUGCAGACCAGCAGCCUCAGCAUUACCUAGAAGUCUGUGUGAAAUGCAGAAUCUCAGGCCCCACCCCAGACCUACUGAAUCAGAAUUUAUGAGAUCCCCAAGUGAUAUGUUUACAUCUUAAAGUUUGAGAAGCACUGCCUAUAACAUACUUGGACAUUCAAUAAAACAGAGCCUACGGACACUCUAAGGAAUCCGCUAUGGCACUUUUGCUGCCGGUGGUGCUCUAUGAAUCUUUAUUCAAGUAGAAAGCAACCACUGAUUAAGGCAUUUUCACUGGAAGGACAGGAGAACUGUACAUUUCUUUCUUUGUGUUUCUGAGUUAAGAAAAAGAAGAUGCGCUAAGUACAUUAGCCUUAAGGCAAUAUUUAAAUCUCCUAUGUUCACGUGAUCUUUGUAUAUGUAAUAAGUGCUCUGAGUAUAAUUAGUAAUAUGAGCUUUCUGAUUAUAUGUAAACCAAUAAAUAACAGGAAGGAUA
Aethalodelphis obliquidens (Pacific white-sided dolphin) is the source of this 1460-nucleotide long non-coding RNA. RefSeq lists it as uncharacterized. The transcript is spliced from 2 exons. The record is from RefSeq and is a predicted model, not a curated record. NCBI's taxonomy places the organism in Eukaryota, Metazoa, Chordata, Mammalia, Artiodactyla, Delphinidae.